GGGGGAGGGAGAGGGGACUAACGGAGCGGUAAAGCGGAGAGCAGAAGCGUAGCGCGCGGGGCGGCGGCGGCGGCGGAGGAGGAGGGGGGUGCGGGCAGGUCGCGCCGCGCCGGCGCAACCCAGGACCGCGCUCAGGCACGCCGCCCCCACCAACCACCCGCCCCGGUCGACCGGAUCGCCAAGGAUCAGCGGCCUCAGCGUCGUCCUCCUCCUCUUGAGUAGUGGCAGCAGAGCGCCCACCGCCGCCCCUACAUGCACGGCGUCAGCAGGGCGCCGCCCCCGCCGAGGCGGCCCCUCGUCGGAUCCCAAAUGGUUCAGACCGCCCCUUCGUUGCUCAAAGAGAACGUUCCCGCCAAGUAUAAACCUGGACUACACUCUAGGAACAAAGAGUGAUAUAAGGAGUAGGAACGUGGUCACAACCAGAAGACAUAUAAACAACGGUCUGUAGACUACUUACUAAAAGGACUAGUGACCCCCUAAAGUCAAUACCAACAUCGCCAACAGAAGUGUCAUAUACUAAACUGCGACGACGAAGAAUGGAGACCAUCUCUAGGACCAUAUCAUGGAGCAUUGUACGUGGGGGGACUUGGACUUAGGGAACUACCCUUGUUACUAUGACCUUUACCAGUCUGAGGUGUUGUUAACGCGAAUGGUGCCUGUUUCCUACAAAUACAUUUACCUCAACAACAUUUCCAGUUCAUGACACUGUGGACGUACGACAUAGCCGGUGGAGCAACGAGAGUGACAAGAUAGACAUUGUUGACACACCUCGCAAAACUAGUAGUGACAGGAACCCAACCAGUUACGUAUCCUGACGCAUUAAUAGCGAAGAAGAUAUACAAACAGAAGAGCUGGUGUAACGAGACGGAGAUGCAUAAACCCAAGACGACCCACAUGUAUUAAUUCUAGUCUCUACGUCUUCCAAGUAGCUAAACCUCCCGUUACAACUUCUGUGGACGGAGUUACCAAGACUAGUAGAUGACAAAAUAAACACACACCAAACAACCACCAGAAAGACAGAAGGUAAAGAUGGACUACUCGUGGUUGGUCUGAUGGAUGCUCUUGAAGUCCAUAGCCAUGCUGGCCGCCCGAUUGGGCAUAUUGCAUCCACACCACUUGUUGAAAGACCUCUAGAAGACGUGACGACAGGGGCGAAGGUUCUUGUUAAAGGCUCGAUCCCAGGGUCAUCUCGUUCCAAAUGUCGUUAGUGCGGGUGGUUGGUCCCCAAAGUACUCGGGUUUGUACCCGUUUGGACAACCUCUGGAACUUAACCCGUCCUUCGGUCAUAGUACCCUGCUUGGAGCCAGUCCUCGACUAUAUUCUCUAAAUCUUCAACCCCCGUACAACCUACUCUUUCUCCCGUCUUAUUGGGUACGCAGUGGCCUAGAGUCGUCUCUUCGGGAAGGUCAACUCGAGUACCUUCCAUCCCGACCGUACGUAAGCUCUGCUAGUUCGACCCCAGUGUCUUCACCCUGGAGUCUCAGCUACCUGUCGUAGCGGCACGUCUACCCUCCACCUCUUUGAUUGACCCCGAGCCAGUCGUCACCGGUGCCGUGUUGGUCACCUUGAGUGAUCGUUUGGCGUGCGGCGAAAGACUGCGGCGUGAUCCAGACUAGAGUUGUUCCUUGCUGGGACAGACUAGAGGUUUUACUUCUUGGCCGGAAAGACUCAUAGGACACUCGAACACGGAAAGUGGAUCCUAUAUCUAUACGGUUACGAAAGAAUGGACACAGACAAAGUAGAACUUCCCGUAGUAAGGAAAACUACACGAAGAGUAAACCACAAAAUUCAUUCGUUUUUUUUUAGUCUUCUCUAAUUUGAGGACGACGCACCGAACCUAACAGAAUAGACACACAUAUAUAAAUAAUAACCUUGUCAGACAUUCUUUCACACGAGACAUACUAAACGACGAACAUUAUAAGAAUCGACACUUUAGUACAAAAUAUUUACAUGA
Molecule: ribosomal RNA, 1954 nt
Filed under: Triticum aestivum (bread wheat)
Lineage: Eukaryota; Viridiplantae; Streptophyta; Magnoliopsida; Poales; Poaceae
Description: partial small subunit ribosomal RNA
Source: RNAcentral